This is a long non-coding RNA of Oncorhynchus masou masou (cherry salmon), 948 nucleotides long. RefSeq lists it as uncharacterized. The record is from RefSeq and is a predicted model, not a curated record. NCBI's taxonomy places the organism in Eukaryota, Metazoa, Chordata, Actinopteri, Salmoniformes, Salmonidae. The transcript has 3 exons.
GCCCAUGCUUGGCAGGGAGAGAGAGAGAGUGUGUGCUUGGCAGGGAGAGAGAGAGUGCCCGGUAGGGAGAGGGAGAGCGUGCAUGGCAGGGAGAGAGAGAGAGAGAGUGUGUGUGGAUGGCAGGGAGAGAGAAAGAGAGUGCCCGGUAGGGAGAGAGAGAGCGUGCUUGGCAGGGAGAGAGAGAGAGAGAGUGUGUGUGGAUGGCAGGGAGAGAGAAAGAGAGUGCCCGGUAGGGAGAGAGAGAGCGUGCUUGGCAGGGAAGAGAGAGAGAGAGUGUGUGUGGAUGGCACUGAGAGAGAGAGAGAGUGCCCGGUAGGGAGAGCGUGCUUGGCAGGGAGAGAGAGAGACAGACAUAGAAGAGUGCUAGCAGCAGUUCAGCGCUUCUGAAUGUGAACACAACCUAGAUGAAAGAAGAGGAAGAUUCCUACUGACAAUAAUCUGCUGGAUGAUUCUCUCAACUGAGCUGAGCGCUGGAUGUUCUGACUGCUGUAUGGAUGAAUCACCUGUUUCUUCUUAUUAAGGCUAUUUCUCAGGCAUCGCUGGAGAUGCCCUUUUAUGUGCAUUGAGCUGGAGACAGAGCGCCGAAAACAGAAGGCACGGGGAGAGAGAGAGAGAGAGAGAGAGGGACAUCCAACUGAGUAGACCCCCCCCCCUCCUCUUCAAUUUACCCACCCACCUACCCUGAGUCUUUACAUCAGAACAUUCUUCUCUCACCCUUUCCUGUCUCUCUCUCUCUCUCUCUCUCUCUCUCUCUCUGUGCCUUUCUGCACAACGGCAUAACAGUCUAUUUACUGAGGGUGAAAAGGAGGGAUUCUACCACCCAACAGUCCUCAACCAUGGGAGAUAAAGGCACAAGGGUAUUCAAAAAAGCAAGUCCCAAUGGAAAGCUCACAGUGUACCUGGGGAAGAGGGACUUUGUGGACCACGUUGACCUGGUGGAACCCGUAG